RNAcentral lists this long non-coding RNA (1883 nucleotides) under Fukomys damarensis (Damara mole-rat). Its description in RNAcentral is "lncRNA (ENSFDAG00000031789.1)". The record is from RNAcentral. Lineage: Eukaryota; Metazoa; Chordata; Mammalia; Rodentia; Bathyergidae.
ACCAACUGGCCAGAGUUCACAUGCGCCAUCACAGCUAAAAGCACUCCCAGACAAGAAGCCUGGAACAAAGGGUGCUCUCAUGAAUCAGCAGCUGUAAGACUGCGUAGUAGCACAUCUGAGAACAUAUGGGAAAGGCUUUGCCAUGGCUAAGCGCAUCUUGUCACAACACAAAAAUGACAGCUUCAGUCUCACCAGUAUUUUAUAUUUCAGGUGAGAGCUGCUUGUCUUUCCAUGAAGUUCUGCAUAAUAAACCAGUGUGAGCAGAUGCUGCGAGAUGCCACCCAAGGCCCACCCCUCUGCCUUAAGCUUAUGCAAGCCUGGCACUGCCCCCACUGGCGUGCCUAGAGGGCAGCAAUGCCUAGGACAGUCGUGGGACACAGUGCACCCUGUGAAAGUAAAGAGAUGACACAUCAAUCACGCAGGCUUCUGGUUCUUAUUUCCAUUGGGAGAUCCAAGUCAGGCCUUCAGCGGACUCAAGAGAUGGAACUGCAAAACAGAAGCAGAAACAGAGCCAAAAAGAACAUAAAGCUAACUUCUACCACUCACAAUCAGCAUGUGGACAGCUUAUCAAACUCUGGGCCUGAGGUGGACCCCCUGGUAGAUGCAUUCGAUCCAUUUCCACAGAACAGAACCACAAAACUGAUGGCCUCCAAGAGAGAGGACACCUGGACCCAAACACGACCUGCUUCACAGCAUGCCAAGGUUCUUCUAGUUUGCUGCUAUGCAACUCCAGGAGUCAGUAAUUGAGACUUUGGAAAGGCUACUCUUGGUAGGUCUGAGACCAGUGAUAGCAUGCCAAUGUAGCAGUCAGCAAAAAGUGGUCAAGACGGGCUAUGCACAAGUUAACCCCGAUAACCAAAUGCCAUGGAAGAACAGAAGUGAAGGGCUUGACUAAGUGAACAAGGCACACACACUGUGUGCAAGACUGGCACAGACAGCACAGAUUGUGUCCGAAUGGAAGUGACCAGAACCAACACCACACCUUGGAGUGAGCACUGAAUUCCACGCUGUAGAAAACCACACCCCAGUCCACUGCAGGGGGAGUGCUCCACAGGACUCGGAAGGCUGAAGCGUUUCCUUCAGUCCUAAAGGAAGACUCUGGAACAGAAUCUGGUAUAACAUUAGGGGUAGAGGAAAAGUUCCCUGUGGGAUGAAAGAAAGAAAGAGAGGGAAAAGGAAUUUAGGGCCAUUGAUUAGCACAGAAUCAUGGGAGAGCAACAGAAAUUACUAGUAAUUAGAAAUAAAAGCUUUCCUCCCCUUUAAAAAUCACUUCUGGCUUUUCAGGCUGUAAAUUUGAGCUAAGAUUAAGCUGGCUGCAAAAAAAGCCAAUAAAACUACUACUAACACCAGGGCCAGGGCUUUCGCUUAGUGGUUUCCCUCACACACACCCCACCCCCACCGCCUCACAUGCAUAAGGUUCCGAGUUUGAUCCCCGUACAGGAAAAAAAACCUACUAAUACCUUUUCCCUCUUACAACAUCAUUCUGAAGAAAGAAAAUGCCAAUCUAAUGUGUAUUUAACAGAAGGUGUGGGAGAGAGGAAGUGAGCAAGAAUAAAGCACUGUACUUGGCAGAGGCUUGAGGGACGACUGAAUGAUUGUGAACUGAUUAAAUUUGGCCGAUUCCGACACAGACACACUGGUUCUCUGCCCGAUUUCCUGAGUCGUGAUCAUCCUGAAGCCAUUGAUCCAGAACAGCCUGCCACUGUAGUACAUCAGAGCAUUCUGGGAAAUUUCAGAAGUACUCCAGGCUGCAAACUCUGUGAUGCUGAUGUGCUCGGUGCUGCAGAAACACAACCCCAGUGAGUGCAUGCACCUGUCACCAGUACCUAUGAGAAGGACUGCAAGGCAUUCUGUGGAAAUGGGAGUGAGAAUAAAAAGAAAAA